GUGGGGAAUAUUGCACAAUGGGGGAAACCCUGAUGCAGCGACGCCGCGUGAAGGAAGAAGUAUUUCGGUAUGUAAACUUCUAUCAGCAGGGAAGAAAAUGACGGUACCUGACUAAGAAGCCCCGGCUAACUACGUGCCAGCAGCCGCGGUAAUACGUAGGGGGCAAGCGUUAUCCGGAUUUACUGGGUGUAAAGGGAGCGUAGGCGGUUUGGCAAGUCAGAAGUGAAAGCCCGGGGCUCAACUCCGGGACUGCUUUUGAAACUGUUAGACUAGAUUGCAGGAGAGGUAAGUGGAAUUCCUAGUGUAGCGGUGAAAUGCGUAGAUAUUAGGAGGAACACCAGUGGCGAAGGCGGCUUACUGGACUGUGAAUGACGCUGAGGCUCGAAAGCGUGGGGAGCAAACAGGA
RNAcentral lists this ribosomal RNA (406 nucleotides) under uncultured bacterium. RNAcentral describes it as "bacterial SSU rRNA". It matches the Rfam family "Bacterial small subunit ribosomal RNA", at positions 354 to 777 of the family's 1533-position model. The record is from RNAcentral.